Molecule: ribosomal RNA, 857 nt
Filed under: Pristimantis ornatissimus
Lineage: Eukaryota; Metazoa; Chordata; Amphibia; Anura; Strabomantidae
Description: partial 16S ribosomal RNA
Rfam family: Bacterial large subunit ribosomal RNA
Source: RNAcentral
CUUAACUACAAAUAUUUUAAUCCAUUGACCCACACUGACCCCUUUAAUCAUACUGAGAACCUCUAUAACACUAUAGAGCCUUUUAUGCUAAAACUAGUAACAAGAGACCUCCCCUCUCCUUAAUGCAAACAUAACCCAGCAAGAACCCAUCACUGGCAAUUAACAGAAUAAACUAAUGUAGUAACUUCACUAGAAAAUUCUACUCUAACCCACUGUUAACCUAACACCAGAGCAUUUCAGGAAAGAUUAAAAGAAAAAGAAGGAAUUCGGCAAACAUUGGCCUCGCCUGUUUACCAAAAACAUCGCCUCUUGAUUUUCCAAUAAGAGGUCCAGCCUGCCCAGUGACUCUGUUCAACGGCCGCGGUAUCCUAACCGCGCAAAGGUAGCGUAAUCACUUGUUUUCUAAAUAAAGACCAGUAUGAAAGGCACCACGAAAGCUAAACUGUCUCCUUUCUCUAAUCAGUGAACCUAAUCUCCCCGUGAAGAAGCGUGGAUUUUUACAUAAGACGAGAAGACCCUAUGGAGCUUUAAACAUCAUAACACUUGCAUUACCCUUUAAUUAUCCAGAUACUUUUCCUUAAGCAUACUGAUUAUAAGUUUUUGGUUGGGGCGACCGCGGAGAAUAACCCACCCUCCACAAUGAAAGGGGGCAUCCCCUAAACAAUAAGUUACAACUUUAUGUAUCAACAAAUUGACAUCCAUUGACCCAACAAAUUGAUCAACGAACCAAGUUACCCUAGGGAUAACAGCGCAAUCCACUUUAAGAGCCCCUAUCGACAAGUGGGCUUACGACCUCGAUGUUGGAUCGGGGUAUCCUAGUGGUGCAGCCGCUACUAAAGGUUCGUUUGUUCAACGAU